RNAcentral lists this small nuclear RNA (97 nucleotides) under Hordeum vulgare. The record is from RNAcentral. Lineage: Eukaryota; Viridiplantae; Streptophyta; Magnoliopsida; Poales; Poaceae. RNAcentral also lists the same sequence under 1 other name.
GUCCCUUUGGGGACAUACGAUAAAAUUAGAACGCAACAGAGAGUAUGGCCCCUGCGUUAGGACGACAUGCGCAUAUCAAGAAAGCACUGCAAUUUUU